GAUGAACGCUGGCGGCGUGCCUAAUACAUGCAAGUCGAGCGAACGGACGAGAAGCUUGCUUCUCUGAUGUUAGCGGCGGACGGGUGAGUAACACGUGGAUAACCUACCUAUAAGACUGGGGUAACUUCGGGAAACCGGAGCUAAUACCGGAUAAUAUUUUGAACCGCAUGGUUCAAAAGUUAAAGACGGUCUUGCUGUCACUUAUAGAUGGAUCCGCGCUGCAUUAGCUAGUUGGUAAGGUAACGGCUUACCAAGGCAACGAUGCAUAGCCGACCUGAGAGGGUGAUCGGCCACACUGGAACUGAGACGCGGACCAAACUCCUGCGGGAGACGGCAGUAGGGAAUCUUCCGCAAGGGGCGAAAGCGUGACGGAGCAACGCCGCGUGAGUGAUGAAGGUCUUCGGAUCGUAAAACUCUGUUAUUAGAGAAGAACAUAUGUGUAAGAAACUGUGCACAUCUUGAAGGUACCGAAGCAGAAAGCCACGGCUAACUACGU
Molecule: ribosomal RNA, 496 nt
Filed under: uncultured bacterium
Lineage: Bacteria
Description: partial 16S ribosomal RNA
Rfam family: Bacterial small subunit ribosomal RNA
Source: RNAcentral